UUUGCAAUCAGCGUCUGUCAUCGUUCAACAGUAUAUUCAUCAAAGUGUUCAAUAUAAAUUUUUUACAUCUAUUGUUAAAUGUUUAAGUGUAUAAAAACAGUAACGAUUGUUUUGUCUUUCAUUCGAUAAACCUAGUCAGAAAUCAACUUUAAUUCAUUAUGCCAUAAAGCUGUUGUGUAGAUUUUAAAUUUUACAAACCCUAGUUGAAUUCCAGUCCCAAAUAAUCGAGAGUAUAAUAUAAAAGUUCAAAUUCAGUAGAAAAAUAGAAUGUACAUUAUUGAAUGUUGGUGAUUUAAAAUUAGUUUGUCAAUCUAGCAUGAUUGUGACACAUUGUCGUGAGUGGCAAUCUCAAUAGGCCAUGAAACAGUACUUUUGGAAACAAAGUCUCUAAGAUCAGAUUUGAUCUUGACAAAUCUUCGCUUGAACUCGAUACCGCAUCCUUUGGACAAUCUAAAAUCUACGAGUGUUUUCCCAUCCAUAUCAACGAUGUUUGCUUUGAAAACAAGAGGCAUUUUCCGUCUAUCAACAGUUGUAACUGUGAUCUGAAAGAAGAAUGUGAUAUUAUUAGCAAAAUUUCAAUUGUUCUCGUGACAAAAAGUUCUUACAAUGAUAUUUUUUAGAAUUUGUAGGUAAUCUAUGAUCAGAGUAACUAUCGAGUUCUAUCUCAAACUUAACUGAAGUUGCCAAAAAAUUUGUUUGUUUAGAGUAGUGAAAUAACUUACAACACCAACUUCGCUGACGCGACAUGUGUAUCCUUCCUUUUCCAAAACAGAUAACAACUUCUUUGCAAAGCUGUCACCGU
Diprion similis is the source of this 802-nucleotide long non-coding RNA. RefSeq lists it as uncharacterized. The record is from RefSeq and is a predicted model, not a curated record. NCBI's taxonomy places the organism in Eukaryota, Metazoa, Arthropoda, Insecta, Hymenoptera, Diprionidae. The transcript is spliced from 3 exons.